CCUACGGGUGGCAGCAGUGAGGAAUAUUGGUCAAUGGACGAGAGUCUGAACCAGCCAUGCAGCGUGUAUGAUGCCUGCCCUCUGAGUUGUAAACUCCUUCUAUAAAGGCAUCAAUCGAGUCACGUAUGCCCUUUUGCAUGUACUUUAUGAAUAAGGAUCGCCUAACUCCGCGCCAGCAGCCGCGGUAAUGCGGAGGAUCCGAGCGUUAUAAGGAUUUAUUGGGUUUAAAGGGAGCGUAGAUGGGUUGUUAAGUCAGAUGUGAAAGUUUGCGGCUCAACCGUGAAAUUGCAAUUGAUACUGGCAGUCUUGAGUACAGUUGAGGUAGGCGGAAUUCGUGGUGUAGCGGUGAAAUGCGUAGAUAUCGGGAAGAACACCGAUUGCGAAGGCAGCUUACUAAACUGUGACUGACAUUGAUGCUCGAAAGUGUGGGUAUCAAACAGGAUUAGAGACCCGGGUAGUC
Molecule: ribosomal RNA, 460 nt
Filed under: uncultured bacterium
Lineage: Bacteria
Description: partial 16S ribosomal RNA
Rfam family: Bacterial small subunit ribosomal RNA
Source: RNAcentral